AUCGACUGUCUAGUAUAGCACUAUACUGUGAAACUGCGAAUGGCUCAUUAAAUCAGUUAUCGUUUAUUUGAUAGUACCUUACUACAUGGAUAACCGUGGUAAUUCUAGAGCUAAUACAUGCUAAAAACCUCGACUUCGGAAGGGGUGUAUUUAUUAGAUAAAAAACCAAUGCCCUUCGGGGCUCCCUGGUGAUUCAUAAUAACUUAACGAAUCGCAUGGCCUUGUGCCGGCGAUGGUUCAUUCAAAUUUCUGCCCUAUCAACUUUCGAUGGUAGGAUAGUGGCCUACCAUGGUUUCAACGGGUAACGGGGAAUUAGGGUUCUAUUCCGGAGAGGGAGCCUGAGAAACGGCUACCACAUCCAAGGAAGGCAGCAGGCGCGCAAAUUACCCAAUCCCGACACGGGGAGGUAGUGACAAUAAAUACUGAUACAGGGCUCUUUUGAGUCUUGUAAUUGGAAUGAGUACAAUUUAAAUCCCUUAACGAGGAACAAUUGGAGGGCAAGUCUGGUGCCAGCAGCCGCGGUAAUUCCAGCUCCAAUAGCGUAUAUUAAAGUUGUUGCAGUUAAAAAGCUCGUAGUUGAACCUUGGGCCUGGUUGGUCGGUCCGCCUCACCGCGUGCACUGAUCCGACCGGGCCUUUCCUUCUGGGGAGCCGCAUGCCCUUCACUGGGUGUGUCGGGGAACCAGGACUUUUACUUUGAAAAAAUUAGAGUGUUCAAAGCAGGCCUAUGCUCGAAUACAUUAGCAUGGAAUAAUAGAAUAGGACGUGUGGUUCUAUUUUGUUGGUUUCUAGGACCGCCGUAAUGAUUAAUAGGGAUAGUCGGGGGCAUCAGUAUUCAAUUGUCAGAGGUGAAAUUCUUGGAUUUAUUGAAGACUAACUACUGCGAAAGCAUUUGCCAAGGAUGUUUUCAUUAAUCAGUGAACGAAAGUUAGGGGAUCGAAGACGAUCAGAUACCGUCGUAGUCUUAACCAUAAACUAUGCCGACUAGGGAUCGGGCGAUGUUAUCUUUUUGACUCGCUCGGCACCUCACGAGAAAUCAAAGUCUUUGGGUCUGGGGAGUAGUCGA
RNAcentral lists this ribosomal RNA (1065 nucleotides) under Moellerodiscus lentus. RNAcentral describes it as "SSU rRNA". It matches the Rfam family "Eukaryotic small subunit ribosomal RNA", at positions 65 to 1132 of the family's 1831-position model. The record is from RNAcentral. Lineage: Eukaryota; Fungi; Ascomycota; Leotiomycetes; Helotiales; Sclerotiniaceae.